ACUCCUACGGGAGGCAGCAGUGGGGAAUAUUGCACAAUGGGCGCAAGCCUGAUGCAGCCAUGCCGCGUGUGUGAAGAAGGCCUUCGGGUUGUAAAGCACUUUCAGUCGUGAGGAAGGUAGUGUAGUUAAUAGCUGCAUUAUUUGACGUUAGCGACAGAAGAAGCACCGGCUAACUCCGUGCCAGCAGCCGCGGUAAUACGGAGGGUCCAAGCGUUAUCCGGAUUUAUUGGGUUUAAAGGGUCCGCAGGCGGGAUAUUAAGUCAGUGGUGAAAGCCUACAGCUUAAACUGUAGCACUGCCAUUGAUACUGGUAUUCUUGAGUGUGGUUGAAGUGGGCGGAAUAUGUCAUGUAGCGGUGAAAUGCAUAGAUAUGACAUAGAACACCUAUUGCGAAGGCAGCUCACUAAGCCAUUACUGACGCUCAGGGACGAAAGCGUGGGUAGCAAACAGGAUUAGAUACCCUGGUAGGAUAGCGU
Molecule: ribosomal RNA, 475 nt
Filed under: uncultured bacterium
Lineage: Bacteria
Description: bacterial SSU rRNA
Rfam family: Bacterial small subunit ribosomal RNA
Source: RNAcentral